AGAGUUUGAUCCCGGCUCAGGAUGAACGCUAGCGGCAGGCCUAACACAUGCAAGUCGAGGGGCAGUCGGGAUUGAAGCUUGCUUCAAUUGCCGGCGACCGGCGCACGGGUGCGUAACGCGUAUGUAACCUACCUAUAACGAGGGGCAUAACACUGAGAAAUUGGUACUAACUUCCCCAUAAUAUUCGGAGAGGCAUCUCUCCGGGUUAGAAAACUCCGGUGGUUAUAGAUGGACAUGCGUUGUAUUAGCUAGUUGGUGAGGUAACGGCUCACCAAGGCAACGAUACAGUAGGGGGACUGAGACGGUUAACCCCCCACACUGGUACUGAGACACGGACCAGACUCCUACGGGAGGCAGCA
Molecule: ribosomal RNA, 359 nt
Filed under: uncultured bacterium
Lineage: Bacteria
Description: bacterial SSU rRNA
Rfam family: Bacterial small subunit ribosomal RNA
Source: RNAcentral